RNAcentral lists this ribosomal RNA (111 nucleotides) under Petromyzon marinus (sea lamprey). Lineage: Eukaryota; Metazoa; Chordata; Hyperoartia; Petromyzontiformes; Petromyzontidae. The record is from RNAcentral.
GCCUCACGCUCGUAUGAACUUUAUUUGCAGUUGAUCUCGGAAGCUAAGCACGGUUAAGCUUGGUUACUACUUGCAUGGGAGAUUGGCCGGGAAUAUCAGGUGUUGUAGGCG